UGGGGAAUUUUGGACAAUGGACGCAAGUCUGAUCCAGCCAUGCCGCGUGCGGGAAGAAGGCCUUCGGGUUGUAAACCGCUUUUGUCAGGGAAGAAACGAGUUUCUCUAAUACAGAGACUUAAUGACGGUACCUGAAGAAUAAGCACCGGCUAACUACGUGCCAGCAGCCGCGGUAAUACGUAGGGUGCAAGCGUUAAUCGGAAUUACUGGGCGUAAAGCGUGCGCAGGCGGUUAUGCAAGACAGAUGUGAAAUCCCCGGGCUCAACCUGGGAACUGCAUUUGUGACUGCAUAGCUGGAGUGCGGCAGAGGGGGAUGGAAUUCCGCGUGUAGCAGUGAAAUGCGUAGAUAUGCGGAGGAACACCGAUGGCGAAGGCAAUCCCCUGGGCCUGUACUGACGCUCAUGCACGAAAGCGUGGGGAGCGAACA
Molecule: ribosomal RNA, 427 nt
Filed under: uncultured bacterium
Lineage: Bacteria
Description: bacterial SSU rRNA
Rfam family: Bacterial small subunit ribosomal RNA
Source: RNAcentral